GGUCCCUGGGUGGUCUUGGGAAUCCCGGACGAGCCCCCAAAUGUUAUGCCCAGAUUUCAGGAUCCCCAAAAAACCACAUCAGGGA
This 85-nucleotide microRNA precursor is filed under the name Myotis lucifugus (little brown bat). RNAcentral describes it as "miRNA (ENSMLUG00000028148.1)". Lineage: Eukaryota; Metazoa; Chordata; Mammalia; Chiroptera; Vespertilionidae. The record is from RNAcentral.